AUGGCCGCCGCCGCCUCCUCCGCCUCCUCCGUCCACGACUUCACCGUCAAGGAUGCGAGUGGAAAAGAUGUCGACCUGAGCACCUACAAGGGGAAGGUUCUCCUCAUUGUCAAUGUUGCAUCCCAGUGCACGGAACUCGCUCAAUUGUACACGGAACUCGCUCAAUUGUACGAGAAGUACAAGGACCAGGGUUUUGAGAUCCUUGCUUUCCCAUGCAACCAGUUUGGUGGGCAGGAACCCGGCACUAAUGAGGAAAUUGUUCAGUUUGCUUGCACUCGCUUUAAGGCCGAGUAUCCAAUUUUUGACAAGGUUGAUGUCAAUGGUGACAAUGUUGCACCUGUCUACAAGUUUCUGAAGUCCAGAAAAGGCAGUCUCUUCGGGGACAACAUCAAAUGGAACUUCUCCAAGUUCUUGGUUGACAAGGAGGGGCAUGUUGUGGAUCGCUACGCGCCAACCACCUCCCCCCUCAGCAUCGAGAAGGACAUCAAGAAGCUGCUCGCGAGUUCUUAA
Molecule: ribosomal RNA, 510 nt
Filed under: Triticum aestivum (bread wheat)
Lineage: Eukaryota; Viridiplantae; Streptophyta; Magnoliopsida; Poales; Poaceae
Description: partial small subunit ribosomal RNA
Source: RNAcentral